CAGUCGCCGCGGGAAUACGUAGGUGGCAAGCGUUGUCCGGAAUUAUUGGGCGUAAAGCGCGCGCAGGCGGAUCAGUCAGUCUGUCUUAAAAGUUCGGGGCUUAACCCCGUGAGGGGAUGGAAACUGCUGAUCUAGAGUAUCGGAGAGGAAAGUGGAAUUCCUAGUGUAGCGGUGAAAUGCGUAGAUAUUAGGAAGAACACCAGUGGCGAAGGCGACUUUCUGGACGAAAACUGACGCUGAGGCGCGAAAGCCAGGGGAGCGAACGGGAUUAGAUACCCGCGUAGUCCCUGUCUCUUAUACC
Molecule: ribosomal RNA, 301 nt
Filed under: uncultured bacterium
Lineage: Bacteria
Description: partial 16S ribosomal RNA
Rfam family: Bacterial small subunit ribosomal RNA
Source: RNAcentral